Heterocephalus glaber (naked mole-rat) is the source of this 2746-nucleotide long non-coding RNA. RefSeq lists it as uncharacterized. The record is from RefSeq and is a predicted model, not a curated record. Lineage: Eukaryota; Metazoa; Chordata; Mammalia; Rodentia; Bathyergidae.
GCAGGAUGGCAAUCCUGGGAUCAGGAUCCAGAAUGAGUGGCUGUCAGACAGUAACAGCAUGCUGAAUGUCAGAGAGAAUUUGGAGGAGAGGCCAAAGCUUGUUGAUUUUGAUCUGGGCGGUGAAUCCAACGUGGUUCACAUUUAUGGAUGCAUGUUGUAAUUCUCGGCAAAAUGUUUGUGUUCUUAGGGAAGUCUCCUUAUCUUGUUUUAAAUUUAGAUUUGGGCUUUCAGAAAAUACAUGGCACUGGAGCAAGGAUGUCCCAAACCCAACGUGACUCUUCUGAUGACAUGACCCUGCUUCUUCCUGUGUUGUCUUCCCUUCUUGAAUGCGUCGAAUUGGAUGUGGCUGUCUUUUCCUCUGGCAUCGCCAAGAUCUAGCCUAUAAUCACAUUCAGUUUGCACAUGGCAGUACAACAUUCAAUUAAAGUCCUCAGCUUGCUGGAUCCAAACCCACCAGCUAGCACACAAAGCUGACAUAAUGGCCUACUCUGGAAAGCUGCUUUGUAAGAACAGCAAAUUACAGUUGUUAAACUGUCCACAGGAGGGCUCUGCUGAUGUUCCAAACACAGAAGGCAAAGCAUAAAGAAAGAGUUUGGGGGAAAAAGGAACUGAACCUUCACAGUUUAAACAACAUUUCAAUAAAUUACAGGAUUCUCUGAAGUGCCACAUCUGAUACAAAGUAGACUUCAGCUCUGUGUUGCUGUAAGCAUUUGUAGCAGCACACAAAAGAUGGAUGGACACAAAAAGACCAAAGUGUUUUUCUGCACACUGAUAGUCUAAGGUACAUGGAUGAUUCCAACACAAAGGUCAGGGGCCUCAGUCUGGUGUUCCGAAUGUCUGACUGCUCCGUUCUGCUUUGGCUUAAACCAUCUAGCCCUGGAGGAAAGUUAUCCAGCAGUCCGGCAUGGAGAGAGGAGUCAGGUUCAGAGCAAACGGCCAGUGCAUCCCUCACUGGGGGGAACAGAGCAGUGACAGUGGAGGGCACAUGUUCCCGAGGAGCAGUGAUCUAAGUCACUCCGGCAGCUGGUGAGACAGUAGCGGACUCAGAACAUUUCAGUCAGGCUGAGUUCCACAGUUCUGAGUUCGAGCUCGGCUUUCACCAGACUUUCGCCAAUUCUGCAAUGUCCCUCCUUGUGCUGCGAGGUGAAAAUCCCCAAAGUGAGGCAGCUCAGCUCCUGUUCACUGGACCCAGGCUCCGCCCUGCUGCCUCCCGCACCAUCCCAGCCUCCCCGGGCAACAAACAGCAUCAUCUGCCUGGAUCCCUGUGCACCCAGCCCUGCGAAGCUUCGCAGCACCCUUGUAAGCCCUGCCAAACCCAAAGCUGCUUCCCCAUCCCAUUGUCGCCAUUGCCACCCAGGGCGUCUUUUCCCUGCAUCCGUGUGACGUUCUUCUUAAAUGGCAGGUCCUCCUGCAGCCCUGCAGCCACAAUGGGACAGCUGCAGGGGCCAGGACCACCAACCCACAGGGAUGCUUCCCCACAACCAGCCCUGUUUCAUCCUCUGUCGUCAGCUUCCUCCAGGAAGCCCUCCCUGGUGUCCCAAGAGGAUGCUGCAGUCCAUCAGAGGGCAUGCAGGGCUAGCCGUCCACGUUGCCCCCAGGGCAGGGUCUGCCAUUGAUCCCCAUCACCGGCGCCUUCUAGGCUCCAAGCCCCAGACCCACAGGGACCCUUGUCACCAUUUCCCUUUGCGUCCUGGUGAACACGGUAGGCAGCAUAAGGUGUCCUUUGUCACUGCAUUGGGAGCGGGAGCCUGGGAGCCCUGGGGAGCAGGAGGCUGUGUAGAAUACUGGGGAGUUCGCAGACUCACAGCACGAUGCCCAAAAGGUCACUGCCCUCGGAGGGGCGGUGCCUGCACAGCAAGGCCCUACACGCACCAGCUGCACCCAGCAAAGAGCUCGGCCACCUGUGUCGCCUGCCUCCCAGGGAGUGUCACCCACACGGGGCUCCUGAAUCUGACGUGGGGAGGGUCAGACUAACCCAGACAUGAGGCGGUCAGCGGGACAGCUGGUCUGGCUCUCUAAGGGGUCAGUAAUAUGAGAACCAAAAGGCCAGGUGGCCAUUGUACCUGAGAAAUAGGCAGGAAGAGUCCCAGGUGUGGUGGUGCUCCUAAAAUCCCAGCACUGGGAGGCUGAUGCAGGAGGAUCAUGAGUUCAAGCCCAGCCUGAACAACAAGGUCUUAGUGAGACCCUGUCUCUGAAAAAUACAUAAAGCUGGGGAUGUAGCUCAAUGUGGAGGUGCUUGUUUCAAACCCCAAUACCCAAGAGAGAGUUUUGUGCUUUUAUCUAUUUGUUUCUUCUUUGUAACAGAGGGUCCUUUUUUGUCCAUGACUUGUAUGCUCAGAAACAUUUAGGCCAUUCUUUAAGUACAUGGUCUAUUAUCUACUGUGAUUCUCUGAUUAUUUUAUUAUGAAAUUUUGGUGUUUAUAUAGAAGAAUGAAGAAUGAUUUUUUAGUAUUUUCUUUAUAAAUAUUUACUUGCAUUACAUUAAAAGAAAAGAAAAGAAAGAGAAUCAAGAAAAAUAGCAGCCAAAUAGAAAGCCAGGUUUUUAAGAAUGCUCCAAAGUAUAUAUGAGAGGCAACUAGGAAAUUGGGCAUAGACUGUUAGAUGAUUUUAUGGAACUAUUGUUAGAAUACUUAGGUGUGUGUAAGAAAUGUAUGGGGAUUGCUUGUGGAUGAGAUUUACUAUUAAAUCAUUCACUAAUAAAUAUAUUCUGUGUGUGUUGUCAUGUGUGAACACAUAUGCAACAAAA